This is a long non-coding RNA of Osmerus eperlanus (European smelt), 898 nucleotides long. RefSeq lists it as uncharacterized. The record is from RefSeq and is a predicted model, not a curated record. The transcript is spliced from 3 exons. Lineage: Eukaryota; Metazoa; Chordata; Actinopteri; Osmeriformes; Osmeridae.
CCAGUAGUGGCUUGACUUUGGGGAUUGAGCCCAGGGAACUUCUAGGAUUAUUGUCCCCCUUACCUGCAGCCAAACUCCUAUAUACCGCCCAAGCUUGUUCUAGCGAGAAGAUAAAGUGUGACUAUUUGGCCCACAGGCACAAUCCAUGAAGUUCAACAGCUUUCACUAAUAGGAACAUCUUACGGUAGCCGGGCAGUGUUGGCUGUGGCCGGAGGAAACAAGGAUAAAUCUUUCCUCAUGUCCAAAGCAAUUAAAAAGUUGAUAAAAGUGCACCAAUGUGUCUCUUGGAAUCCUUUUCCCAGAGACUAUUGGUCAGUCUGGGAAAAGGAUUCCAAGAGACACAAUCAAUGUGCUUCUCGAAUGAUUAAUUUAGGAAUUGACAAUUAGGCAAAGGGGUGCUUUUACACCUAUAAUGGCAUACCCUUAUUUCAAAUGUGAGUGAUACCUGAAUUAUUGUCCAGGAAUUAGUUACUCCUAAAUGUUAUGUUUUAGUUUUUUAUAGAUCCUCAAAACUAUUUUGGAACAGUUUUGUUACAGCUCCUGUGUGAUUCAAACUGUGUGUUCGAAUCACAACAGUGUUCCCUGUCUGCUGGGUCAUGUGGUGCAGCGAGCUAGAGAUAUACUAGAAGCCAGAGCCUUUCUGCUCUGGUACCAGCACUAUGGAGUUGAGCAAUCAGACUUCCAGCAAGCUCUUGACACAUGCUGCACCCAAUGACAAAUAAGGCAAAUAAUGUGUUGUGGAUGAUAGUGUUGGUUAUUUUUUUAAUAACCCAUUAAGGUGCUUUUGUAAAGUUAAUUUGUAGUGUUGCUAUUAGAGCUGACCGAUCGGCGGGCCGAUAUAUCGGCAGGCCGAUAUUAUUGGACGAUAUUAGGCAUUUUCCUAACUAUCGGUAUCGGC